AGAGACUUAGUCCCAACCUUACAGUUAGUUCUUGCUAGACAUAUACAUGCAAGUAUCCGCACCCCAGUGUAAAUGCCCCUCCCCGUCCACACAAAUUGACAAGCAGGGAGCUGGUAUCAGGCACACCACAGUAGCCCAAGACACCUUGCAUCCGCCACACCCCCAAGGGUACUCAGCAGUAAUUAACAUUAAGCAAUAAGCGAAAGCUUGACUUAGUUAUAGCAACACCUACCAGGGUCGGUAAAUCUCGUGCCAGCCACCGCGGUCACACAAGAGACCCAAACUAACUGUACACGGCGUAAAGAGUGGAACCGCCUCAUCUCUUAACCAACUAAGGUUAAAAUAUACCCAAGCCGUCAUAAGCCUACGAUAUACUAAAACCCACCAUCAAAACGACCUUAGAAACCCCUAGAUGAACAAACCCCACGAAAGCCAGGACUCAAACUGGGAUUAGAUACCCCACUAUGCCUGGCCCUAAAUCCUGAUGUUCAAUUAUUACAAGAACAUCCGCCAGGGAACUACGAGCGCAAACGCUUAAAACCCUAAGGACUUGGCGGUGCCCCAAACCCACCUAGAGGAGCCUGUCCUAUAACCGAUAACCCACGAUACACCCGACCAUCUCUCGCCAAACAGCCUACAUACCGCCGUCGUCAGCCCACCUCUUGAGAGCAUAACAGUGAGCUUAACAGCCCCCACCCGCUAAAAAGACAGGUCAAGGUAUAGCCCAUGAGAUGGAAGAGAUGGGCUACAUUUUCUAACAAUAGAAAAUCCACGAAAGGGGGCAUGAAAACACCCCCUGAAGGCGGAUUUAGAAGUAAAAAAGGAACCAUAAAGCCUUCUUUAACCCGGCCCUGGGACACGUACAUACCGCCCGUCACCCUCCUCAUAAGCCACAACCCCCACAAACUUAUACCCCUCCACCCAAGCUAGAGAUGAGGUAAGUCGUAACAAGGUAAGUGUACCGGAAGGUGCGCUUAGCACAC
RNAcentral lists this non-coding RNA (983 nucleotides) under Otus scops. RNAcentral describes it as "12S ribosomal RNA". It matches the Rfam family "Bacterial small subunit ribosomal RNA". The record is from RNAcentral. RNAcentral also lists the same sequence under 1 other name. Lineage: Eukaryota; Metazoa; Chordata; Aves; Strigiformes; Strigidae.